GACGAGGGGGCCUAGCGUUGUUCGGAAUCAUUGGGCGUAAAGCGUGUGUAGGCGGCCAUUCAAGUCGGUUGUGAAAGCCCCGGGCUCAACCCGGGAAGUGCUUCCGAUACUGUUUGGCUUGAGUACCGGAGAGGGUAGUGGAAUUCCUGGUGUAGUGGUGAAAUACGUAGAUAUCAGGAGGAACACCGGUGGCGAAGGCGGCUACCUGGCCGUGUACUGACGCUGAGACACGAAAGCGUGGGGAGCAAACAGG
This 253-nucleotide ribosomal RNA is filed under the name uncultured bacterium. RNAcentral's name for it is "partial 16S ribosomal RNA". It matches the Rfam family "Bacterial small subunit ribosomal RNA", at positions 524 to 776 of the family's 1533-position model. The record is from RNAcentral.